GAUGAACGCUGGCGGCGUGCUUAACACAUGCAAGUCGAACGAUGAAGCCCAGCUUGCUGGGUGGAUUAGUGGCGAACGGGUAAGUAACCCGUGAGUAAACUGCCCUUGACGCUGGGAUACGCCCGGGAAACUGGGGCUAAUGCCGGAUAGGAGCGCCUGUCCCAUGACGGGUGCUGGCAAGAUUUUUCGGUCAUGGAUGGACUCGCGGCCUAUCAGCUUGUUGGUGUGGUAAUGGAUCACCAAGGCGACGACGGGUAGCCGGCCUGGGAGGGUGACCGGCCACACUGGGACGAAGACACGGCCCAGCCUCCUACGGGCGGCAGGAGGGGGGAAGAUUGCACAAUGGGCGGAAGCCUGAUGCAGCGACGCCGGGUGAGGGAUGACGGCCUUCGGGUUGUAAGCCACUUUCAGUAGGGAAGAAGCGGAAGUGACGGUACCUGCAGAAGAAGCACGGGCUAACUACGU
RNAcentral lists this ribosomal RNA (465 nucleotides) under uncultured bacterium. RNAcentral describes it as "partial 16S ribosomal RNA". It matches the Rfam family "Bacterial small subunit ribosomal RNA", at positions 28 to 506 of the family's 1533-position model. The record is from RNAcentral.